GUUUUUCUUAAGUACUCCUCAUUCUGAUAAAAAUACUUUGUUACAGGAAACACAAAACCAAAAGCCCUACACAUAGGGCAAUGAGGGGAGUUAUGAUCAGAAUAUUAUUGAUUACAACAGGAUCAGAGAUUUGUGCACUGAAGAAGAGACUGUCAACACUGAAAAUAGUCUAAGCAAUACUGUUUUGAGUUUUUAAUUACAUGGAGUGUCAAGUACACAGGGCUUGUGUACAAGUAAUAGAUUAGGGUUGAGAAGAGUGUCCAAAAGGCAAGUUCACUGUCUGUCUCUCUGUCAGUCUUACAAUAUCUGCUUGCCUCUACCCCUCCUCCUCCCAUUUUGCUUUUGUUUCCAGCAGGCCACUGAUGGAGACUUUGGAAGGGCUGGGGAGGAGCAGAUAUGAUUAACUGCUUUAUUUUAAAAAAAAGUUCUGAAGAGGUUGGCAUAUGCUGGGCCCCUGAAUGCAGUAAUGAGCCUUGAUCAUCCUCAGCUGGAGCUUCCAGACACACCCACGGGGGCAGGAAGCCCCAUUUCAACCAGCCCCAAUCCCCAAGCUGGUUGAAAAGGCUGGGGUAUGAUGUCCUGGCUGAGCAGUAAUGGGGGACUGCUGCUCUCUUAUCCAUGUCUGUGGCUGUACCUUUUUUUUUUUUCACCAUGGGCCUUAUUGAUCUAGACCUCAACCACCAGGUUGAUAUCCUGUCUUUGUCCAGCCUGGUUGUUGUGGACCUUCCUGCCCAUCAUUAAACCUGGUCUUAACCCUGAACUAUGGACUGAAUUGACCUCAGGCCUCUUUUGUCACCAUGAUACUGCCUCAUGAUCUGGGCUCUUGGGUGGUUCCAGCUAUCAUGUCCAGGUGAGCAAGAGGUUGUGUGCGCAAGGCCAGAGCUGGAGCUGCAUGCCCACCAAAGCCACAGAGGCUCCUUAAAAACACAGUUGUAUUUCUUCCCUCUGCCUGUGCGGUGUUUUACGUUCUCAUGACGAUGGAGACAUGCUCUGCUGGCGAUGAACUUGGACUCAUAAUAUCAGCAUAGAGGUGAAAAUAGACCAUUCACAGCUUAACAUCCUCCUGAUUUACGUUCUUGCAGCAAAGGUGAUGAGCUCUUGAUACAAGUGAAUAACUGUAUCGUUGGAAAAUGUUUCUGAUGUUGUUUCAGCUGCUUAAGUAAAAAUGUUAAGCUUUCUCACCAUUAGGAACAUGAUUUAGUGGCACGUCAAGAUUUCCC
RNAcentral lists this long non-coding RNA (1220 nucleotides) under Parus major (Great Tit). RNAcentral's name for it is "lncRNA (ENSPMJG00000007395.1)". Lineage: Eukaryota; Metazoa; Chordata; Aves; Passeriformes; Paridae. The record is from RNAcentral.